UACGUAGGUGGCAAGCGUUGUCCGGAUUUACUGGGCGUAAAGGGAGCGUAGGCGGAUACUUAAGUGGGAUGUGAAAUCCCCGGGCUUAACCUGGGGGCUGCAUUCCAAACUGGGUAUCUAGAGUGUCGGAGAGGAAAGUGGAAUUCCUAGUGUAGCGGUGAAAUGCGUAGAGAUUAGGAAGAACACCAGUGGCGAAGGCGACUUUCUGGACGAUAACUGACGCUGAGGCUCGAAAGCGUGGGGAGCAAACAGG
Molecule: ribosomal RNA, 253 nt
Filed under: uncultured bacterium
Lineage: Bacteria
Description: partial 16S ribosomal RNA
Rfam family: Bacterial small subunit ribosomal RNA
Source: RNAcentral